Molecule: ribosomal RNA, 801 nt
Filed under: uncultured bacterium
Lineage: Bacteria
Description: bacterial SSU rRNA
Rfam family: Bacterial small subunit ribosomal RNA
Source: RNAcentral
AGAGUUUGAUCAUGGCUCAGAACGAACGCUGGCGGCGUGCUUAACACAUGCAAGUCGUACGAGAAAGCUUACUUCGGUGAGCGAGUAAAGUGGCGCACGGGUGAGUAACACGUGGGUAACCUACCCUCCGAACUGGGAUAACAUCUCGAAAGAGGUGCUAAUACCGGAUACGUCCUUUUUUCCUUCGGGAGAAAAGGGGAAAGAUGGCCUCUGCUUGCAUGCUAUCAUCGGUGGAUGGGCCCGCGGGCCAUUAGCUUGUUGGUAGGGUAACGGCCUACCAAGGCUACGAUGGCUAGCUGGUCUGAGAGGAUGAUCAGCCACACUGGAACUGGAACACGGUCCAGACUCCUACGGGAGGCAGCAGUGGGGAAUAUUGCGCAAUGGGGGAAACCCUGACGCAGCAACGCCGCGUGAGUGAUGAAGGCCUUCGGGUCGUAAAGCUCUGUCAGAGGGGAAGAAGGGUUCAAUGGCUAAUACCUGUUGAGCUUUGACGGUACCCUCAGAGGAAGCACCGGCUAACUCCGUGCCAGCAGCCGCGGUAAUACGGAGGGUGCAAGCGUUGUUCGGAAUCACUGGGCGUAAAGGGCGCGUAGGCGGCUGUUUAAGUCAGAUGUGAAAGCCCCCGGCUUAACCGGGGAACUGCAUUUGAAACUGGACGGCUUGAGUACGGGAGAGGGAAGUGGAAUUCCUGGUGUAGAGGUGAAAUUCGUAGAUAUCAGGAGGAACACCGGUGGCGAAGGCGGCUUCCUGGACCGAUACUGACGCUGAGGCGCGAAAGCGUGGGUAGCAAACAGGAUUAGA